Molecule: transfer RNA, 107 nt
Filed under: Candidatus Heimdallarchaeota archaeon
Lineage: Archaea; Promethearchaeati; Candidatus Heimdallarchaeota
Description: tRNA-Phe
Rfam family: tRNA
About the family: Transfer RNA (tRNA) molecules are approximately 80 nucleotides in length.
Source: RNAcentral
GCCGAGGUAGCUUAGCCCGGGAGUAUCACCAUUUUAUAAUGGUAUCAAAUCCCGUUAGCGCUGGACUGAAGAUCCAGUUGUCGUGCGUUCAAAUCGCACCCUCGGCA